This 497-nucleotide ribosomal RNA is filed under the name uncultured bacterium. Its description in RNAcentral is "partial 16S ribosomal RNA". It matches the Rfam family "Bacterial small subunit ribosomal RNA", at positions 28 to 507 of the family's 1533-position model. The record is from RNAcentral.
GAUGAACGCUGGCGGCGUGCCUAAUACAUGCAAGUCGAGCGAACGGACGAGAAGCUUGCUUCUCUGAUGUUAGCGGCGGACGGGUGAGUAACACGUGGAUAACCUACCUAUAAGACUGGGAUAACUUCGGGAAACCGUAGCUAAUACCGGAUAAUAUUUUGCACCGCAUGGUUCAAUAGUGAAAGACGGUCUUGCUGUCACUUAUAGAUGGAUCCGCGCUGCAUUAGCUAGUUGGUAAGGUAACGGCUUACCAAGGCAACGAUGCAUAGCCGACCUGAGAGGGUGAUAGGCCACACUGGAACUGAGACACGGUCCAGACUACUACGGGAGGCAGCAGUAGGGAAUCUUCCGCAAAGGGCGAAAGCAUGACGGAGCAACGCCGCGUGAGUGAUGAAGGUCUUCGGAUCGUAAAACUCUGUUAUUAGGGAAGAACAGAUGUGUAAGUAACUGUGCACAUCUUGACGGUACCGAAUCAGAAAGCCACGGCUAACUACGUG